This 65-nucleotide transfer RNA is filed under the name human gut metagenome. It matches the Rfam family "tRNA", at positions 5 to 66 of the family's 71-position model. Rfam says of the family: Transfer RNA (tRNA) molecules are approximately 80 nucleotides in length. Their secondary structure includes four short double-helical elements and three loops (D, anti-codon, and T loops). The record is from RNAcentral.
GGCGUAGUUCAGUUGGUAGAGCACUGGAUUGUGGUUCCAGGUGUCGUGGGUUCGAGUCCCAUCGC